CAGGGAGGCGGAGCCUAGCUACCAAAAAGAGAGAAGUCGCAUGCCACUGCAGCUCCGAACUAAAAGCCGACAAAAUCAUACUUUUAAGGGCUAUUUCCUGCUAUACCGAGAUCCCAGACAUCAAACCCGCACACCUUACCACCAUGGGACGCAAAACAAAAAAGCCCAAACAGGACCGACCUAACCUGCGGAUGAACAUCGGUGAAAUGUGGCGCCAAGCACAUGGCGCAAGCGGGCCCAAGAUGUCCGCGCUGUAGAGUGGUUGUUCCGAUUUCUCGGAUGGCUUCGGAGGAGGAAGAGACACUUUCAAUCACACUGGCGAAACCCCCACCAACAAAACAGACAAAACCGGACACAUCCCCGGUUACAAUCUCGGCCUUAAAGGGACUCCUUGCGGAACUACAGACCACCCUGCAAGCAGACAUUGCCACGAUACGUGGAGGGCUGCAGGGACUAACAGGCCGAAUCGACACACUAGAAACUACCACCCACCAGGACUCCCAGCGGAUACAGGUGCUGGAGAGAGCAGUGCAGGACCUCCAGCGGCAAAAUCAGGCCCAUGAACGCCGCUUCGCAGCCCAGGAAGACCUACGACGGCGGAACAAUUUUAAAAUCAGGGGGUACCCGACGCGGUCCCCGAAGCGGAGCUGCCGCACUUAAUGAGAAGAAUGAUGGGAGACCUACUACCACCCAAGUAGGCCAAAGCAAUUCCCCUGGACGGGCUUUUCCGUAUCCCCAAACCGGCCAAAGCCUCACCAACGGCAUUGAGCGACCUGAUCAUCCAAUUCUGGCACCGAGCAGACAAGAUGGCAAUCCUGAAGGCAAUCAGGGGUAAGCCAAACUACCUCUUCGAAAAUAUGGCAUUGGAAUUUUACAGUGACCUGUCCAACAGUACAAUGGCCUGGCGGAGGUCAUUCAAGCCCCUUACCUCACUACUCCAACAGCGCAUUAUAGGAUACCGCUGGCGCCUGCCCCGCAUGCUCCAGGUCAUACACUGAGAGACCACACACCAACUCCAGGAUCUACGAGAUGCAGGCACACUCCUAAGGGACUUAGGACUACCGCAGGACCGUUUAUUAAAACCUCAGUCGCAACCCAAUAACUGGGACCCAAGCAAAAUCACCCUGUUUACACCACGAUGACACACAGCGGAUCCGUACGCUACAGCGAAUACAUGAAGCCCCGAGAGGCUCUCUGACCAGGACUGAUAGCGACUGAGAUGGUCCCCAUGUUACUUCUCAUAACUUAAGUUUUGUGUUCAUCGUUUAUUUAGAUUUGACAAGGUGCACUACAUGCCUACCAACAGGUUUGCGGCACCUCACAUUCCAUAAGUUAACCCCUGCCGGCACCGCACCAUGCACGCCUAGGCUGGGUUCAUCUUACUAA
Pelobates cultripes (western spadefoot toad) is the source of this 1386-nucleotide non-coding RNA. NCBI's taxonomy places the organism in Eukaryota, Metazoa, Chordata, Amphibia, Anura, Pelobatidae. The record is from the annotation of a GenBank genome assembly.